RNAcentral lists this ribosomal RNA (493 nucleotides) under uncultured bacterium. Its description in RNAcentral is "bacterial SSU rRNA". It matches the Rfam family "Bacterial small subunit ribosomal RNA", at positions 8 to 474 of the family's 1533-position model. The record is from RNAcentral.
AGAGUUUGAUCAUGGCUCAGAAUGAACGCUGGCGGCGUGCUUAACACAUGCAAGUCGCACGAGAACACCGAACUUCGGUUUGGUAAGUAAAGUGGCGCACGGGUGAGUAACGCGUGGGUAAUCUGCCCCUGAAUUUGGGAUAACAUUGCGAAAGCGAUGCUAAUACCGGAUGAAGUCAUUGAAACUUAGGUAUUGAUGAUGAAAGAUGGCCUCUACAUGUAAGCUAUUGUUUGGGGAUGAGCCCGCGUACCAUUAGCUAGUUGGUGGGGUAACGGCCUACCAAGGCAGCGAUGGUUAGCUGGUCUGAGAGGAUGAUCAGCCACACCGGAACUGACACACGGUCCGGACUCCUACGGGAGGCAGCAGUGAGGAAUUUUGCGCAAUGGGGGAAACCCUGACGCAGCAACGCCGCGUGAGUGAUGAAGGCCUUCGGGUCGUAAAGCUCUGUCAAGUGGGAAGAACCCUGUGUAUAAUAAAAUGUACAUGGCUGACG